Long non-coding RNA from Acinonyx jubatus (cheetah), 1124 nucleotides. RefSeq lists it as uncharacterized. NCBI's taxonomy places the organism in Eukaryota, Metazoa, Chordata, Mammalia, Carnivora, Felidae. The transcript has 2 exons. The record is from RefSeq and is a predicted model, not a curated record.
UGUGCUGGGACUGUGGGACGCAGAAGCAAUGGUAAGGCAUGGUUGCCAUCCUGGAAGUUCACACUGCCAGCAGACACAGCAAACCUGUAUAGCGUGCGAGACCGAAACCUGGGAGGUCCACAUCUAUGUGUUCUGGGCCAUGCACGGGUCCUCCUUGCCAUCAAUACCCUCAGAACGACACGUUUUCCCAACCGAUCAAAAAGUGAACACUGUUCAACAACUCACUAAGUGUCAUUAGGACCCAGGAUUAACUGUCUGUCUACACAGAAACCUGGCAGAAACCUCUGGCUGCGGUUUCCUUUGUGAUCCUGCAUUAGCUCUGAGCUUCAAAUAUGCAUGACAAACGCAAAGCUUAAAAAUAAAAUAGGAGACCAACUUUCACGCUGUGUCUAUAGUGCACCAGUGAGAAAACGAAUAAAAUCCCGACCCCUUACUGCUCUCCAGGCAUCAAUCAUUACAUUCCAUGUGAGUGGGCGAGUGUCUAAUUAACCACUCAUCGAUCUCAAAGUUUUAUAAGUGCUGCCGCUCCCCUCAGGCUGGAGUUCUUCCUUCUGCCUGCGUUCGGCUAUUUGCUACCUUGGCAAUCGGUGCCCUGGUGGAACUUGUAAUGAAGGGAACAAACUCCACACGGGUCCCCUUUAGCCAAGCCACCGCCGUCUGCCUCCUUACUGUGCCUGCUUCCUUUGAUCCACCUUGCUGGGACCAUUCCUUUGGCCUCCAUUCCACCCACCACUCCUACGCCCCAAGAACCUCAGCUCACACACUUGCAGCCCAACGCUUUUCUUACUUCAUAAUAUUUUUGGAGACAUAGUUAUCAUAAGACUGAUUCCAAUUAUAACAACCUCCUGCCACUCUCGCCAUUUUUACACAAGCUGGGCCCCUGUGAAGAACACCGUGCUGUCUGGCAUUGCUGCACUCGCACGUAUCUAUGCAGCAACACCUUUUGGGGUAUGUCUGCGCAGGUCCUGCCGUGGGCUGCAGCGGAGAGGGCUCACGGGCUCUACAAGAGAAGGCUUCCUGAUUUUUCUGGCUGACACUAAUAGCACUAUUCAGAACUGUCUAUCUCUAAAUGAUUUCACAUUCAUUGUACUAGGUCAUCUCUAUAAUGUGUCUGAAAGGCAUUU